This 2920-nucleotide ribosomal RNA is filed under the name Bacillus cereus biovar anthracis str. CI. Its description in RNAcentral is "bacterial LSU rRNA". It matches the Rfam family "Bacterial large subunit ribosomal RNA". The record is from RNAcentral. Lineage: Bacteria; Bacillati; Bacillota; Bacilli; Caryophanales; Bacillaceae.
UUAAGUUAGAAAGGGCGCACGGUGGAUGCCUUGACACUAGGAGUCGAUGAAGGACGGGACUAACGCCGAUAUGCUUCGGGGAGCUGUAAGUAAGCUUUGAUCCGAAGAUUUCCGAAUGGGGAAACCCACCAUACGUAAUGGUAUGGUAUCCUUAUCUGAAUACAUAGGGUAAGGAAGACAGACCCAGGGAACUGAAACAUCUAAGUACCUGGAGGAAGAGAAAGCAAAUGCGAUUUCCUGAGUAGCGGCGAGCGAAACGGAACAUAGCCCAAACCAAGAGGCUUGCCUCUUGGGGUUGUAGGACAUUCUAUACGGAGUUACAAAGGAACGAGGUAGACGAAGCGACCUGGAAAGGUCCGUCGUAGAGGGUAACAACCCCGUAGUCGAAACUUCGUUCUCUCUUGAAUGUAUCCUGAGUACGGCGGAACACGUGAAAUUCCGUCGGAAUCUGGGAGGACCAUCUCCCAAGGCUAAAUACUCCCUAGUGAUCGAUAGUGAACCAGUACCGUGAGGGAAAGGUGAAAAGCACCCCGGAAGGGGAGUGAAAGAGAUCCUGAAACCGUGUGCCUACAAAUAGUCAGAGCCCGUUAACGGGUGAUGGCGUGCCUUUUGUAGAAUGAACCGGCGAGUUACGAUCCCGUGCGAGGUUAAGCUGAAGAGGCGGAGCCGCAGCGAAAACGAGUCUGAAUAGGGCGUUUAGUACGUGGUCGUAGACCCGAAACCAGGUGAUCUACCCAUGUCCAGGGUGAAGUUCAGGUAACACUGAAUGGAGGCCCGAACCCACGCACGUUGAAAAGUGCGGGGAUGAGGUGUGGGUAGCGGAGAAAUUCCAAUCGAACCUGGAGAUAGCUGGUUCUCCCCGAAAUAGCUUUAGGGCUAGCCUUAAGUGUAAGAGUCUUGGAGGUAGAGCACUGAUUGGACUAGGGGUCCUCAUCGGAUUACCGAAUUCAGUCAAACUCCGAAUGCCAAUGACUUAUCCUUAGGAGUCAGACUGCGAGUGAUAAGAUCCGUAGUCAAAAGGGAAACAGCCCAGACCGCCAGCUAAGGUCCCAAAGUGUGUAUUAAGUGGAAAAGGAUGUGGAGUUGCUUAGACAACUAGGAUGUUGGCUUAGAAGCAGCCGCCAUUUAAAGAGUGCGUAAUAGCUCACUAGUCGAGUGACUCUGCGCCGAAAAUGUACCGGGGCUAAAUACACCACCGAAGCUGCGGAUUGAUACCAAUGGUAUCAGUGGUAGGGGAGCGUUCUAAGGACAGUGAAGUCAGACCGGAAGGACUGGUGGAGUGCUUAGAAGUGAGAAUGCCGGUAUGAGUAGCGAAAGACGGGUGAGAAUCCCGUCCACCGAAUGCCUAAGGUUUCCUGAGGAAGGCUCGUCCGCUCAGGGUUAGUCAGGACCUAAGCCGAGGCCGACAGGCGUAGGCGAUGGACAACAGGUUGAUAUUCCUGUACCACCUCUUUAUCGUUUGAGCAAUGGAGGGACGCAGAAGGAUAGAAGAAGCGUGCGAUUGGUUGUGCACGUCCAAGCAGUUAGGCUGAUAAGUAGGCAAAUCCGCUUAUCGUGAAGGCUGAGCUGUGAUGGGGAAGCUCCUUAUGGAGCGAAGUCUUUGAUUCCCCGCUGCCAAGAAAAGCUUCUAGCGAGAUAAAAGGUGCCUGUACCGCAAACCGACACAGGUAGGCGAGGAGAGAAUCCUAAGGUGUGCGAGAGAACUCUGGUUAAGGAACUCGGCAAAAUGACCCCGUAACUUCGGGAGAAGGGGUGCUUUCUUAACGGAAAGCCGCAGUGAAUAGGCCCAAGCGACUGUUUAGCAAAAACACAGCUCUCUGCGAAGCCGUAAGGCGAAGUAUAGGGGGUGACACCUGCCCGGUGCUGGAAGGUUAAGGAGAGGGGUUAGCGUAAGCGAAGCUCUGAACUGAAGCCCCAGUAAACGGCGGCCGUAACUAUAACGGUCCUAAGGUAGCGAAAUUCCUUGUCGGGUAAGUUCCGACCCGCACGAAAGGUGUAACGAUUUGGGCACUGUCUCAACCAGAGACUCGGUGAAAUUAUAGUACCUGUGAAGAUGCAGGUUACCCGCGACAGGACGGAAAGACCCCGUGGAGCUUUACUGUAGCCUGAUAUUGAAUUUUGGUACAGUUUGUACAGGAUAGGCGGGAGCCUUUGAAACCGGAGCGCUAGCUUCGGUGGAGGCGCUGGUGGGAUACCGCCCUGACUGUAUUGAAAUUCUAACCUACGGGUCUUAUCGACCCGGGAGACAGUGUCAGGUGGGCAGUUUGACUGGGGCGGUCGCCUCCUAAAGUGUAACGGAGGCGCCCAAAGGUUCCCUCAGAAUGGUUGGAAAUCAUUCGUAGAGUGCAAAGGCAUAAGGGAGCUUGACUGCGAGACCUACAAGUCGAGCAGGGACGAAAGUCGGGCUUAGUGAUCCGGUGGUUCCGCAUGGAAGGGCCAUCGCUCAACGGAUAAAAGCUACCCCGGGGAUAACAGGCUUAUCUCCCCCAAGAGUCCACAUCGACGGGGAGGUUUGGCACCUCGAUGUCGGCUCAUCGCAUCCUGGGGCUGUAGUCGGUCCCAAGGGUUGGGCUGUUCGCCCAUUAAAGCGGUACGCGAGCUGGGUUCAGAACGUCGUGAGACAGUUCGGUCCCUAUCCGUCGUGGGCGUAGGAAAUUUGAGAGGAGCUGUCCUUAGUACGAGAGGACCGGGAUGGACGCACCGCUGGUGUACCAGUUGUUCUGCCAAGGGCAUAGCUGGGUAGCUAUGUGCGGAAGGGAUAAGUGCUGAAAGCAUCUAAGCAUGAAGCCCCCCUCAAGAUGAGAUUUCCCAUAGCGUAAGCUAGUAAGAUCCCUGAAAGAUGAUCAGGUUGAUAGGUUCGAGGUGGAAGCAUGGUGACAUGUGGAGCUGACGAAUACUAAUAGAUCGAGGACUUAACCAU